CCUACGGGCGGCAGCAGUAGGGAAUCUUCCACAAUGGACGAAAGCCUGAUGGAGCAACGCCGCGUGGGUGAAGAAGGUCUUCGGAUCGUAAAACCCUGUUGUUAGAGAAGAAAGUGCGUGAGAGUAACUGUUCACGUUUCGACGGUAUCUAACCAGAAAGCCACGUCUAACUACGUGCCAGCAGCCGCGGUAAUACGGAGGUGGCAAGCGUUAUCCGGAGUUAUUGGGCGUAAAGGUAACGCAGGCGGUUUGUUAAGUCUGAUGUGAAAGCCUUCGGCUUAACCGGAGUAGUGCAUUGGAAACUGGGAGACUUGAGUGAAGAAGAGGAGAGUGGAACACCAGGUGUAGCGGUGAAAUGCGUAGAUAUAGGGAAGAACACCAGGGGCGAAGGCGGCUAUCUGGUCUGUAACUGACGCUGAGGUUCGAAAGCGUGGGUAGCAAACAGGAUUAGAUACCCGAGUAGUC
RNAcentral lists this ribosomal RNA (465 nucleotides) under uncultured bacterium. Its description in RNAcentral is "partial 16S ribosomal RNA". It matches the Rfam family "Bacterial small subunit ribosomal RNA", at positions 338 to 795 of the family's 1533-position model. The record is from RNAcentral.